RNAcentral lists this long non-coding RNA (1289 nucleotides) under Nicotiana benthamiana. Its description in RNAcentral is "long non-coding RNA (NBEN_LNC004614)". The record is from RNAcentral. Lineage: Eukaryota; Viridiplantae; Streptophyta; Magnoliopsida; Solanales; Solanaceae.
CUAUCACAGACUAGGAUUUUUCUUAUAUAUUUAGGAAAUACAACAAUUGAUAUAUAACCAAAUAAUAUUUUUGUUUCAUUUACGCAAUAUAGCUUUACAAUAACAAGAGUUCAAGUAUCCCUUGGCUCUACAUAACUCUGCCACCACUCUUGUAGGCUAUUCCUCUCAUCUUUUUCAUAUUGCAUUUCUUUUUGAAUGCACAAACAAAUACGUGCAGUAACACAAAGUCAAAGCAUUAGUUCAACUCGACUGAUCUAUUCAAGAUUUGAUGCAUAUUGUCAUCAUUAUUUCUUCUCAUUAUGUCUUCCCUUCGUAAUCAUUAUUUAUGACAGUUGGAUUUUUCUGAACUAGUAUUUAUUCAUGUAUUCUUAAAACAGAAAUAAGAAGUCCCUGAUUUUAAUCUAAAUAUGAUAGUAUAUGCUAAACAACUGAUAGAAAAAAACAAUCUCUCAAGUGAAAUUCUGUUAUUUAUUUGAAGGGCCAUGCAACAAACCUUAAUGUUUAAAUGUACUUGAUAACUAGUUAGUCCUCAAAUAUUCUUCUUGUUCUUUGCUAGUUUGAACUGCAUGCAUGUAAUGAUGAGUAAUAAGUAGUAGUUUGUCACGUCGCACUUGGAUUUAUAACUCCAAAGAUGUGAAGAAAAAGAAAAGAAAUCUAAAGCUAUAAUCUUAGUGAAUUUUAGCCCAAGAUUUGGUUUCCAUUUACUACAAAGAAAAAGGACUUUUUUUCAGAGUCACUCAAACAAUACAAAAGAUCGUACCAUGUUUAGUUGUAGAUUUAAUGAAUGACUGGUGGCCAAAGAGGGACUGAAAAUCAGAGCCGAAAUUGCAGAGAUUACACUGAGUGUUUUGCUUUUGCUUUUGCUUUUGCCGUCUCUUCUAUUAAUAGGUUUAGUAUGUUAAUGAGAAUAUACUUACGUUGAGAUAUCCUCAGUAAACACUCAUUCCAACCUUCUGCCCUCCCACUACAUAUGUUGAGAUGAAUGUAAUUGUUUAAGUUUUUGAAAUAUAGGUUUUGGAUAGUUUUCAUAGAUAAGGAUCACUUACUAAGGCUUGUUGAAAAUAGGAGGCUAUAUAUAUAUUAUUUGUGGAAGAGAGCAUUAAUGAUUUAGAAGUUUGAUUGAUUUUGUAUGUUUUGUUUAUUGCUUAAUUACAAAUAAGGGGUGAUACCUCUAUUUAUACUAUACAAUGGAAUAAUCUAGAACACUUCAUUAUCUACUAGUAUCUAGAUAAUUCCUAAGUAUUAUCAUGAUAAUUCUAGACUUAGAUAUUUUACAAGAUUAUUCUACA